This 253-nucleotide ribosomal RNA is filed under the name uncultured bacterium. RNAcentral's name for it is "partial 16S ribosomal RNA". It matches the Rfam family "Bacterial small subunit ribosomal RNA", at positions 524 to 776 of the family's 1533-position model. The record is from RNAcentral.
UACGUAGGGUGCGAGCGUUAAUCGGAAUUACUGGGCGUAAAGCGUGCGCAGGCGGUUCGUUGUGUCGGCGGUGAAAGCCCCGGGCUCAACCCGGGAAUGGCCGUUGAAACUGGCGAACUGGAGUGUGGCAGAGGGGGGUGGAAUUCCGCGUGUAGCAGUGAAAUGCGUAGAGAUGCGGAGGAACACCGAUGGCGAAGGCAGCCCCCUGGGCUGACACUGACGCUCAGGCACGAAAGCGUGGGGGGCAAACAGG